This 236-nucleotide unclassified non-coding RNA is filed under the name Piscirickettsia salmonis. RNAcentral's name for it is "partial 16S/23S ribosomal RNA intergenic spacer". The record is from RNAcentral. Lineage: Bacteria; Pseudomonadati; Pseudomonadota; Gammaproteobacteria; Thiotrichales; Piscirickettsiaceae.
UAUUUGUUCUUUAACAAUGUGGUAAAAAGUAUAAGUAAAGAUUCCUUGAUUAAUUUAGGGUUAUUUUUAGUUUAGGUUGAGAUGUAUUUUUAUGUCUUGAUUGAUUAUUAGAAAUAAUUUUUAGUUUAUUUAAUUAACGAGUCUUGGUAAUUUUUGAAAACCGGUGUUGAGAUAUAGUUUUGAUUGGUAUUAGUUAAUAGAUUUUAGAUUUAUUGAUAUAAGACUUUUUGGGGUUA